AGUGAACGCUGGCGGUAGGCCUAACACAUGCAAGUCGAACGGCAGCACAGGAGAGCUUGCUCUCUGGGUGGCGAGUGGCGGACGGGUGAGGAAUACAUCGGAAUCUACUCUGUCGUGGGGGAUAACGUAGGGAAACUUACGCUAAUACCGCAUACGACCUACGGGUGAAAGCAGGGGACCUUCGGGCCUUGCGCGAUUGAAUGAGCCGAUGUCGGAUUAGCUAGUUGGCGGGGUAAAGGCCCACCAAGGCGACGAUCCGUAGCUGGUCUGAGAGGAUGAUCAGCCAAACUGGAACUGAGACACGGUCCAGACUCCUACGGGAGGCAGCAGGGGGGAAUAUUGGACAAUGGGCGCAAGCCUGAUCCAGCCAUACCGCGUGGGUGAAGAAGGCCUUCGGGUUGUAAAGCCCUUUUGUUGGGAAAGAAAUCCAGCUGGCUAAUACCCGGUUGGGAUGACGGUACCCAAAGAAUAAGCACCGGCUAACUUCGUGCCAGCCGCCGCAGUAA
RNAcentral lists this ribosomal RNA (506 nucleotides) under uncultured bacterium. RNAcentral describes it as "partial 16S ribosomal RNA". It matches the Rfam family "Bacterial small subunit ribosomal RNA", at positions 29 to 523 of the family's 1533-position model. The record is from RNAcentral.